GCUAUGUGAUGAAGUUCCUCUCUUUCUAUUCACCUCAUCAUCCAGUGGAUGGAAUAAAAUAGUUUCAAAUCAUGAUGCCAAGUGCAUCUUUAGCCAAAAAAGAAAAAAAGAAGAUGAUGAGAAAAAAAAAAAAAGAAAAAAAAAAAAAAGAAGGAUUUCGUGGAUUUUAUUUUUAAUCGAGGAUGCUCGUCUAUCCAUUUCACAUACAGAUGACUGCAUGGCGACCUCCAAAAUCUCAUAAUGCCAUGGUGAGUCAAAAUAACAUAGGCAGCUGGAGCAGUGACUUGCCCGAAGGAGGAAGUACAGUGAACGCAGCACGGGCUCAUGAGGCUGAUGCAACAUGAGAGUUGGCAGACAAAUGGAGGAUGAUCUAAAGGAAUCGAUUAAACGGUCUGAUCUGGAUCCUUUCGUCUCAGCGAUGGUGAAACAAUGGUCAGAGAUCACAACUCCUCUUAUAUGUGAGCACCGAUGUCCUGAUAGUUCCAGUUCAAGGGGUAAAAUAUCUAAUAUAAAAGGUACAAUAUAUAACAUAAUAUAAAAUAUGCAUGAUACAUUGUAUAAUAUGUCUAAAAUAUGUCUGGAAACUAUUUUAGCAGAAACUUUUAUCCAAAGCGACUUUCAAAUGAGAAGUAGUGUUAACGUGUUCUGCCUUGGAUAAUCGCUUCUGCUUUUAUUAUUCUAAUCUUUUUGAAUAAAUUGUCUGCUA
This is a long non-coding RNA of Xyrauchen texanus (razorback sucker), 706 nucleotides long. RefSeq lists it as uncharacterized. NCBI's taxonomy places the organism in Eukaryota, Metazoa, Chordata, Actinopteri, Cypriniformes, Catostomidae. The record is from RefSeq and is a predicted model, not a curated record. The transcript has 3 exons.